CGGGUGUAGCUCAAUGGUAGAGCCCGGGCCUUCCAAGCCCGUUGCGUGGGUUCGAUUCCCAUCACCC
This 67-nucleotide transfer RNA is filed under the name marine eukaryotic metagenome. It matches the Rfam family "tRNA". From Rfam's summary of the family: Transfer RNA (tRNA) molecules are approximately 80 nucleotides in length. Their secondary structure includes four short double-helical elements and three loops (D, anti-codon, and T loops). Further hydrogen bonds mediate the characteristic L-shaped molecular structure. tRNAs have two regions of fundamental functional importance: the anti-codon, which is responsible for specific mRNA codon recognition, and the 3' end, to which the tRNAs corresponding amino acid is attached (by aminoacyl-tRNA synthetases). tRNAs cope with the degeneracy of the genetic code in two manners: having more than one tRNA (with a specific anti-codon) for a particular amino acid; and 'wobble' base-pairing, i.e. permitting non-standard base-pairing at the 3rd anti-codon position. The record is from RNAcentral.